AGAACUUUUAAAUUUAGGAAUUAAAUUUGUUUUUUUAGGAAAAUUGAAGAGAUAAAAUGUUGUUUAAAUUUCAAUAUGAACUUCAAAAGAUUAUUUUGGGAGGAUGGUUUUAUUUAAGCGUCUUAUACCCCUACGGAUACCAAAGUAAAGCCAGAGAAUAAAAUUGUGUAUAUGCUUGGUGCAUACAUAAAUAUCAUGGAUAUGUCUUUUGGUUGUUUUAACUUUCAAUAUCCUUUCCAUCUAUUGCUAUGUUCAUAUUUCAUGUUUUCACGAGAAAUAACGUAUUUUAAAAACUCUUAAUGACUCAUGAAAGUGACUUUAUUAAAAUGUACAAUGUAUUUAUGUAAACAUAACAUUUUUAUCGAGGUUGUGACUAGAUUGUUUUAAUUUAGAACCCCCGAUCCUACCAUCUGUUUUUAUGCCUAACUGACAAUUUUGAGAACUACAUUUGGUAUUUCUAUUGAUAAAAUUGUAUUGGUCUAAUUGAUUGUUUAUAUAUAUAUAUAUAUUGUAACGGCAAUAAGUCAGAUGAGAGAAAAUUCGACUCUAGUUACGUCCUAGCAGACAAAUACUUUCUCCUCAUUGGAUUCGUUAAUUUGUGUUUAAAAUCUAUAAUAUUGCAUGUUUUAACAUAUUGAGUAAUUCCGCCAUGUUGUCGGUCGGUCAGACCGGGAAGUGUGGCGCCCUUUUCGAUCAAAUCGAUCGGUCGAUGGUCUACGUCGAUCGAUGUGCUGCACACUCGUUAAAAGCUUUACCUAAUAAUAAAAAAUAAUAUAUUAUGUUAGCGUAGCACUAUCGGCGGACGAUAAAAAUAGACGACGUCUUAUUAUACAGAUAAUUCCCGUCUUCGCGUUUCGUAUCAAAUAUUAUUAUUUUAAAUUCGUACGUUCCGACUAUAUCUAUAUAAUACACUAUUGUAUACGUUUUACUAAUAGACGUUCGGCUAUAGUGUUGCGCCAGUAGCUGCAGCAGAAGUCGACGUCCGGCGCACGAAUAGUAAUAAUUAUAUACAAUUUACAUUUAGCGUAUUUAAUAUAUAGCAGAUGUUUCGGACAUGUACUCUUAACAGUCUUACAACGGCGUUUAUAUUAAUGACGUGAGCCGAACAGCCAUUCCACGGGUCCGUUAUAAAAGGUUCUAAAUUGAAUUUCCCGAACGGUUCUCGAGACAGGACCGUUU
This is a non-coding RNA of Cinara cedri, 1179 nucleotides long. The record is from the annotation of a GenBank genome assembly. Lineage: Eukaryota; Metazoa; Arthropoda; Insecta; Hemiptera; Aphididae.